AUACAGAGGUCUCAAGCGUUGCGCGGAAUUACUGGGCUUAAAGGGUGCGUAGGCGGACCAGCAAGUGUCUUGUGAAAGCCCACGGCUUAACCGUGGAAUUGCUCGGCAGACUGCUGGUCUUGAGGUCGGUAGGGGCUGCCGGAACAGUAGGUGGAGCGGUGAAAUGCGUAGAUAUCUACUGGAACACCAAAGGCGAAGGCAGGCAGCUGGGCCGAUUCUGACGCUGAGGCACGAAAGCGUGGGUAGCGAACGGGAUUAGAAACCCCGGUAGUCC
This 274-nucleotide ribosomal RNA is filed under the name uncultured bacterium. RNAcentral describes it as "partial 16S ribosomal RNA". It matches the Rfam family "Bacterial small subunit ribosomal RNA", at positions 523 to 796 of the family's 1533-position model. The record is from RNAcentral.